GACGAACGCUGGCGGCGUGCUUAACACAUGCAAGUCGAACGAAGUGGCGAACGGGUGAGUAACGCGUAAUCAACCUGCCCUUCAGAGGGGGACAAAAGUUGGAAACGACUCCUAAUACCCCAAACGGAAGGAGGGGUUUGUGACGGAUAAGCUAGUUGGAGGGGUAACGGCCCACCAAGGCGAUGAUCAGUAGCCGGUCUGGGAGGGUGGACGGCCACAUUGGGAAAGAGGCACGGCCCAGACUCCUACGGGAAGCAGCAGGGGGGAAUCUUCCGCAAUGGACGGAAGUCUGACGGAGCAACGCCGCGUGAGUGAUGACGGCCUUCGGGUUGUAAAGCUAUGUUAAUCGGGACGCGGUACCGGAAUAGAAAGCCACGGCUAACUACGUGCCAGCAGCCGCGGUAAUUC
RNAcentral lists this ribosomal RNA (408 nucleotides) under uncultured bacterium. RNAcentral's name for it is "partial 16S ribosomal RNA". It matches the Rfam family "Bacterial small subunit ribosomal RNA", at positions 28 to 526 of the family's 1533-position model. The record is from RNAcentral.